RNAcentral lists this ribosomal RNA (468 nucleotides) under uncultured bacterium. RNAcentral describes it as "partial 16S ribosomal RNA". It matches the Rfam family "Bacterial small subunit ribosomal RNA", at positions 28 to 507 of the family's 1533-position model. The record is from RNAcentral.
GAUGAACGCUGGCGGCGUGCUUAACACAUGCAAGUCGAACGGUGAAGGCGGAGCUUGCUCUGCUGGAUCAGUGGCGAACGGGUGGGUAACACGUGAGCAAUCUGCCCCUGACUCUGGGAUAAGCGCUGGAAACGGCGUCUAAUACUGGAUACGAGCUGCGAAGGCAUCUUCAGCAGCUGGAAAGAACUUCGGUCAGGGAUGAGCUCGCGGCCUAUCAGCUUGUUGGUGAGGUAACGGCUCACCAAGGCGUCGACGGGUAGCCGGCCUGAGAGGGUGACCGGCCACACUGGGACUGAGACACGGCCCAGACUCCUACGGGAGGCAGCAGUGGGGAAUAUUGCACAAUGGGCGAAAGCCUGAUGCAGCAACGCCGCGUGAGGGACGACGGCCUUCGGGUUGUAAACCUCUUUUAGCAGGGAAGAAGCGAAAGUGACGGUACCUGCAGAAAAAGCGCCGGCUAACUACGUG